This 390-nucleotide long non-coding RNA is filed under the name Eucalyptus grandis. RNAcentral's name for it is "long non-coding RNA (EGRA_LNC004397)". Lineage: Eukaryota; Viridiplantae; Streptophyta; Magnoliopsida; Myrtales; Myrtaceae. The record is from RNAcentral.
AUAGAAGAUACCUCCCAUAUAGCCACCAAAGAAAUAGGAGUAAUGCAUACUGAUAUUGGCCAAGUAGUGAUAAUACCUCCAGAGAGAGAGAGAGAGAGAGAGAGAGAGAGAGAGAGAGAGAGAGAGAGUACCAGGACGUUGAUAUUCGGCCGGAAUUCGGGAUGCCAUUGAAGCCUCAAGCAUGAGAAGAGAGAAAACGAGGGUCAGAAGACAAAAGAGUUUCUUGCUCUCCAUUUCUCUUGUGGUUUCCUCGGCUCUUUUCUUAGUCGCUCAACUUAUGAACUUGACUAAGAGACAUUUACUCACGCAAAGUCUUGUUUAAUAAUGCAAGAAAAGCUGCGGAUACGGAAGCGACACGGACAGCUCGUCCGUUUGUCGCUUCUCUCCUCU